UAAACCUUAUCGGCUGAUCUGGU
Molecule: non-coding RNA, 23 nt
Filed under: Arabidopsis thaliana (thale cress)
Lineage: Eukaryota; Viridiplantae; Streptophyta; Magnoliopsida; Brassicales; Brassicaceae
Source: RNAcentral